Molecule: ribosomal RNA, 484 nt
Filed under: uncultured bacterium
Lineage: Bacteria
Description: partial 16S ribosomal RNA
Rfam family: Bacterial small subunit ribosomal RNA
Source: RNAcentral
AUUGAACGCUGGCGGCAGGCCUAACACAUGCAAGUCGAGCGGAUGAAGGGAGCUUGCUCCUGGAUUCAGCGGCGGGCGGGUGAGUAAUGCCUAGGAAUCUGCCUGGUAGUGGGGGAUAACGUCCGGAAACGGGCGCUAAUACCGCAUACGUCCUGAGGGAGAAAGUGGGGGAUCUUCGGACCUCACGCUAUCAGAUGAGCCUAGGUCGGAUUAGCUAGUUGGUGGGGUAAAGGCCUACCAAGGCGACGAUCCGUAACUGGUCUGAGAGGAUGAUCAGUCACACUGGAACUGAGACACGGUCCAGACUCCUACGGGAGGCAGCAGUGGGGAAUAUUGGACAAUGGGCGCAAGCCUGAUCCAGCCAUGCCGCGUGUGUGAAGAAGGUCUUCGGAUUGUAAAGCACUUUAAGUUGGGAGGAAGGGCAGUAAGUUAAUACCUUGCUGUUUUGACGUUACCAACAGAAUAAGCACCGGCUAACUUCGUG